This 266-nucleotide unclassified non-coding RNA is filed under the name fungal sp. RNAcentral describes it as "partial internal transcribed spacer region". The stretch from base 1 to 46 matches the Rfam family "Eukaryotic small subunit ribosomal RNA", at positions 1786 to 1831 of the family's 1831-position model. Lineage: Eukaryota; Fungi. The record is from RNAcentral.
AAGUCGUAACAAGGUUUCCGUAGGUGAACCUGCGGAAGGAUCAUUAUAGUGAUAUGUGUGGGGUGGGGGUGAAGAGUGUGAUGUUUGGAGUUUUUGGGAGACUGAGAAUUCUGGAUGUGACAGGCUGACCUCCUCCUGCAGUGGUUCCCGGUGUAACAGCAGGGAGCCGUGGCAGACGCCCGCAAGGGUGGCUGUGAAACGAGUGAGAUUUGAGACUGAAGAAAAGGCAAAAAAUACAACUUUUAACAAUGGAUCUCUUGGCUCCU